This 317-nucleotide ribosomal RNA is filed under the name uncultured bacterium. Its description in RNAcentral is "bacterial SSU rRNA". It matches the Rfam family "Bacterial small subunit ribosomal RNA", at positions 28 to 334 of the family's 1533-position model. The record is from RNAcentral.
GACGAACGCUGGCGGCAUGCCUAAUACAUGCAAGUCGAGCGGAAUGACGAGAGCUUGCUCUCUGAUUUUUAGCGGCGGACGGGUGAGUAACACGUGGGCAACCUGCCCUACAGAUGGGGAUAACUCCGGGAAACCGGGGCUAAUACCGAAUAAUCAGUUUGUCCGCAUGGACAAACUCUGAAAGACGGUUUCGGCUGUCACUGUAGGAUGGGCCCGCGGCGCAUUAGCGAGUUGGUGGGGUAAUGGCCUACCAAGGCGACGAUAGUUAUCCGGCCUAAGAGGGUGAACGGACACACUGGGACUGAGAUACGGCCCAG